UACCGGUGGGGAAGGCGGCCCCCUUACGAAAGACUGUUGCUCAGAUGCGAAAGCGUGGGGAGCAACCAGGAUUAGAUACCCUGGUAGUACACGCUGUAUCUGAUGUUGAUUUGGAGGUUGUGCCCUUGAGGCGUGGCUUCCGGAGCUAACGCGUUAAAUCGACCGCCUGGGGAGUACGUCCGCAAGGUUAAAACUCAAAUGAAUAGACGGGGGCCCGCACAAGCGGUGGAGCAUGUGGUUUAAUUCGAUGCAACGCGAAGAACCUUACCUACUCUUGACAUCCAGAGAACUUAGCAGAGAUGCUUUGGUGCCUUCGGGAACUCUGAGACAGGUGCUGCAUGGCUGUCGUCAGCUCGUGUUGUGAAAUGUUGGGUUAAGUCCCGCAACGAGCGCAACCCUUAUCCUUUGUUGCCAGCGGUUCGGCCGGGAACUCAAAGGAGACUGCCAGUGAUAAACUGGAGGAAGGUGGGGAUGACGUCAAAUCAUCAUGGCCCUUACGAGUAGGGCUACACACGUGCUACAAUGGCGUAUACAAAGAGAAGCGACCUCGCGAGAGCAAGCGGACCUCAUAAAGUACGUCGUAGUCCGGAUUGGAGUCUGCAACUCGACUCCAUGAAGUCGGAAUCGCUAGUAAUCGUAGAUCAAAAUGCUACGGUGAAUACGUUCCCGGGCCUUGUACACACCGCCCGUCACACCAUGGGAGUGGGUUGCAAAAGAAGUAGGUAGCUUAACCUUCGGGAGGGCGCUUACCACUUUGUGAUUCAUGACUGGAGUGGAGUCGUAACAAGGUAACCGUAAAUCGA
This 803-nucleotide ribosomal RNA is filed under the name uncultured Serratia sp. RNAcentral's name for it is "bacterial SSU rRNA". It matches the Rfam family "Bacterial small subunit ribosomal RNA", at positions 707 to 1510 of the family's 1533-position model. Lineage: Bacteria; Pseudomonadati; Pseudomonadota; Gammaproteobacteria; Enterobacterales; Yersiniaceae. The record is from RNAcentral.